This 2882-nucleotide long non-coding RNA is filed under the name Pan troglodytes (chimpanzee). RNAcentral describes it as "lncRNA (ENSPTRG00000053093.1)". The record is from RNAcentral. Lineage: Eukaryota; Metazoa; Chordata; Mammalia; Primates; Hominidae.
CCCUAACAAAGAUGUGAUGUGUGAAGGAUGCUUACUUACCCAGACUAUGACCUUUGCCAUUCUAGGGAGAGUUACAGGAAUAGUGCAGGGUUUAAGAUAUUAUCCUACACAGAUGGAAGACCAACCAGAGCAGCCCUAAUUUUCCAUGAGGCUAUAUAUAAUGUGGUAAAAUCGUGGGGACUUAAUUCCAUCAUAUGGAGGGUUACUGAAUGUAUCAGAGACAGCCUGCAGUUCAUCACCACACAAAUUAGGAGCAACGUAAGAAGAGAAAAAGAAAAAGGAAUUACAGAUUAAAAAAUGCAAGAGAAUAUAAACAAAAACAUGUUCAACUGGAAUUUGUAUUGGGAUUGUAUUAAAUGGAUGAACUAAUUUGUGAAGAAAUGAUAUCAUUCCAUCCAAGAGCAUGGAACUCCUAUUUUUCCUAUUGUCUUCUAUGUUUCUUUUUAAAAAGUUUUAAGUUUUCUCUGUAGAGUUUUUUGCAUUCUGGAUGAUUUUAAUUGAAACAUACUGUAUAGAUAUUGUUACUAUUAUAAGUGGUGCCUCUUAUUAGAUUUUGUAAUUCAUUAUGAUUGGUAAAGCAAAUAGGAUAGAUUUUGAACCUAGAAAACUGCCUCAAUUACCUCAUUACUUCAAAAAGUAUUGCCAUUGGUUCUAUUGCUUUUUUUAAAAAAAACAUGAUAAUAUCUUCUGCACAUUAUGAAAUUUUAUCUCAACACUUUCAAUCACUGCAUCUCUGUUUGACACCGAUGAACACUUCCAAAGUGAAAUAUUUUGCUCUCUUUAUUUUUCUCCUUUUGCUUUUUGGGGCCUCUUUACUUUCUAAACUUGUCACUUCUUGGUUUAUCUUCCAUACCUCUUGGCUUUUCUUUUGUGUAGUAUACUUUAGCUUCAUUCUGGGAGAGUUUUUCAUUCUGAACUUUUCGAUUUACUAGUUUAUUCUCCAUCAGUAUGUUUGCUAAUUUUUCUUCCAUUGACUGCUUUUCCCAAAUACUUAUUUUUCAUACUUUAUAUUUUCACUUGGAAUUUGGGGGGAAUAUUUUGUUCUAGUUUCAAAUUGAUCCUAUAUUUUUUGUCUCCUUAAGUAUAUUUAUCAGGCUUAUUUUAAAUUCUUGAUUUAUGUGUUAUAAUAAUGCUACCUUAGAUGGCAUAUGCUGCUCAAUUUUUCUUUCCCUUUUCCACUCUAGUAGUGGUAGUCCUCUGGCUUCUGGUUAUUUUUGUCUCUAGAGUUAUGUUAUGCUAUUAUAACAGAUGUGAGAAAGGGCCCAAAACCAGGUUUUAGCCUGUGUCUGCUCUAAUGAGUUAAUGUGAUUACUAUGGAUGAUCUUCAGAGUAGAAUACAAUAAGCAAUUGUUGUUUAUUACAAGUUUCGAGUUUAUAACUGUGAAAUCUACUGUGCUUCCUAAUUUAGCACCUUUAACAAUCUAUGAUCUAGGCUAUUGCUUCCAACUUUUAAAGUUUAAGGGAAGACACUGAUUGUCCCAAGGAAAUGUGGUCAGAGGAAAUAACAGAGGUAAUACUCAAAAUAAGAAAUACUCGAAAUAAGUUAAUGUGAAAAAUAAUAGUAUAGAAGCAGCUCAAGAAGGAAAUGAUGAGUUGCAAGAUCAGAUUGAAGAACUGUUCCAGAAGGCAGCAAGAAACAAUAAUGUAAAAUUUUAAAAAUUAAUAAUAAUAACAAAAAACUAAAAGACAUGGAGGAUAGAAAUAGAUAUAUAUGGUGUGUUGUAUGAGAUGAGUCAGUUAGCUUAUGAGCAAGCAACCCAACCAUAUCUAAACAUAUAUCUGAGUAUGCUUUAACUCAUGUACUUACAAAAUUGCAUUUCUUAGUGAAAAAAAAAUCAAGAAAGAAAACAAUUCCUAAGGUUAGUGAUGAAAGUAUAAAGUCAAGAGAUAAACUAGUGAUUUUCAAAAAAAAAAAAAAAAAGUAACUUUAGAGUGGCAAAUCAAAUGUCACUCUGUUCAUACAAGAUUCAUGAAACUGUUUCAGAGAGGGUUUUGUUCCUUGCAAAAGUUGUUCACCCACAAGAGACAGAUUUUGUAAAAUUUAAAAUGUAGCUAAUUUUCCAUGUGAUUAGGCAGUGUAAUUUAAAGAAACUCAAGAUUUUCUACAAAUAAUUUUUUGAGGCAAGAAGAUGCUAAAGUCACUUGUACUGCCACUAAACUUUACUAAAAGUUGGUUUGAACACUUUAAUUGCUUUUGAAUAGAUGAUUGAAGCUGUGAAGAGGUGGCAGCAGCUGACAUGUUGCCAUGGUAGCAUUUCCUCCCCAGCUGAGGAGGCUAUACAGAAGAAAGGAUAUAGGUCAGAAAGUGUUUAUACUGACAAAACAACCGCAUAUUAAAAUCAAAUGCUUUUGUAAACAUCAUAAGCCAAAUGAGAGUUGUGAAAUCUAGUUUCAGGCUAUUAAAGACAGACUGAUUUAUCUUUAGGAUGAUGUAUCAAGCUGUACGGUGAGAAUGGAGCAUUCAAGGUCAAGAAUACUCUCCUUCCUGCAUAUUGGCAAUUCAAUUUUAAAAGAUUGAAACACGAUGAAAGUGUUUCUAUCAGUUUCUUCUGUGUUCCUUGCAAUAAGGAUAUAUUUAAUUGAAAAAUUCUUCUGGAAGGUAGUUCAUCUCUGAAUAAACUACUCCAGGGUAAGGAGGAUCAACUCUAUGAUCAAUAAAUAUCUGUUGGUUAAUUACUUUUGUACUCUGACAAAAUUUUAUAAAUGCAAUUAAGGAAGAUCUAACUACAAUGAGAGAGGGAAUAAGAGAGAGAAAGGUGGGAAGAAAUGGAGUAAAGUUGGCCAGUAGUUCAGUGGGGAGACAGAAUGAAAGAAAUAUGAUGGAAAGAAGGAAGGAAAGAAAAAGGGAAGAAAGGAAGGAAGGAAGGAGAUAGGUAGGGAGG